CUUGAUGUUAAUGGAUAACGCGCCGGAUUCGUAAUCAGUAGGUCGUCGGUUCGACUCCGGCCACCGGCACCA
Molecule: transfer RNA, 72 nt
Filed under: Sulfuricaulis limicola
Lineage: Bacteria; Pseudomonadati; Pseudomonadota; Gammaproteobacteria; Acidiferrobacterales; Acidiferrobacteraceae
Description: tRNA-Ser
Source: RNAcentral